UACGUAGGUGGCAAGCGUUGUCCGGAAUUACUGGGUGUAAAGGGAGCGCAGGUGGUUUAUUAAGUCUGGUGUAAAAGGCAGUGGCUCAACCAUUGUAUGCAUUGGAAACUGGUAGACUUGAGUGCAGGAGAGGAGAGUGGAAUUCCAUGUGUAGCGGUGAAAUGCGUAGAUAUAUGGAGGAACACCGGUGGCGAAAGCGGCUCUCUGGCCUGUAACUGACACUGAGGCUCGAAAGCGUGGGGAGCAAACAGG
RNAcentral lists this ribosomal RNA (252 nucleotides) under uncultured bacterium. RNAcentral's name for it is "partial 16S ribosomal RNA". It matches the Rfam family "Bacterial small subunit ribosomal RNA", at positions 524 to 776 of the family's 1533-position model. The record is from RNAcentral.